GUUUAAAGGGAGCGUAGGCCGCUGUUUAAGCGUGUUGUGAAAAACCGGGGCUCAACUCCGGUCGUGCAGCGCGAACUGGACGGCUUGAGUGCGCGGUAAGUGGGCGGAAUUUGUGGUGUAGCGGUGAAAUGCUUAGAUAUCACGAAGAACUCCGAUUGCGAAGGCAGCUCACUGUAGCGCAACUGACGCUGAAGCUCGAAAGUGCGGGUAUCGAACAGGAUUAGAUACCCUGGUAGUCCGCACGGUAAACGAUGGAUGCCCGCUGUUCCGGCUAAUAGUUGGAGUGGCCAAGCGAAAACGUUAAGCAUCCCACCUGGGGAGUACGCCGGCAACGGUGAAACUCAAAGGAAUUGACGGGGGCCCGCACAAGCGGAGGAACAUGUGGUUUAAUUCGAUGAUACGCGAGGAACCUUACCCGGGCUUGAACUGCAGGAGAACGAUUCAGAGAUGAUGAGGCCCUUCGGGGCUCCUGUGGAGGUGCUGCAUGGUUGUCGUCAGCUCGUGCCGUGAGGUGACGGCUUAAGUGCCAUAACGAGCGCAACCCCUCUCCGUAGUUGCCAUCAGGUAGUGCUGGGCACUCUGCGGACACUGCCACCGUAAGGUGUGAGGAAGGUGGGGAUGACGUCAAAUCAGCACGGCCCUUACGUCCGGGGCUACACACGUGUUACAAUGGGGGGUACAGAGUGUUGUUCGCAUGCAAAUGCGUACUAAUCAUGAAAGCCCUCCUCAGUUCGGACUGGGGUCUGCAACCCGACCCCGCGAAGCUGGAUUCGCUAGUAAUCGCGC
This 786-nucleotide ribosomal RNA is filed under the name uncultured Bacteroidota bacterium. Its description in RNAcentral is "bacterial SSU rRNA". It matches the Rfam family "Bacterial small subunit ribosomal RNA", at positions 558 to 1347 of the family's 1533-position model. Lineage: Bacteria; Pseudomonadati; Bacteroidota. The record is from RNAcentral.